GACCCUUAUUGCACUGCCAACAACUAUGGCCUGCCCUGCCGAAGGACCCUAUCAUGCAGAAUAGGUGGAUGGAGUUCGAUGGUUUCCAGUGGUGACAAUGUGUACAGUUGGGUGCCAGACUGAUGCCCUUGGUUUGAACGGAUCCUGGGACCUACAAGAAGGAACAAAGCUUGUCGGGCAAGAAUAAAAGUGUGUAAUGCGACAGAAGUACCCUUGUGACACUUCCUCCGUUGUUGCCAGAGUCUCCCUCGACUCCUAUGAAAAGGAUACGCCAUCAGGGCUCUGGUAGUGACCCGAGUUACUGCCCUGAUGACACAGAUGGCUUCAUCAACAACGAUAGGCCCUCCCAAUCAACAUCACCUCAUAAUAUUGCCUGCUGCAGUUGUGGAGACGUCCAGUUUGCAUCAGAACAUGUAGCAUAGAGAAGACCAGCAAGGGGGCCCUCAUCGGCAUCAUGCAGACAUGCCCUCGUUGUGAGCAUUCCUAUGAAUGGAACGGUCAGCCACAUGUUGGCAAGUAUAUGGCCAGCAACCUGCACCUGUCAACAGCAACAGCUUUCACAGGCUCAUCAUUUGUACAAAUACAGAAGGAGCUGAUCUACGCUGCUAUGGCCAUCAAUGGGGCUUGGGUAAAGAUCUCACCUCCAGCUUCACCUCUUGCCUGCUCACCAACUGUCGUCGAUGGGGAGACCAGAAUUGGAAACAUGUAUGGCGCCAGCACAUGGAGACUUGC
Long non-coding RNA from Salvelinus namaycush (lake trout), 732 nucleotides. RefSeq lists it as uncharacterized. The transcript is spliced from 6 exons. The record is from RefSeq and is a predicted model, not a curated record. NCBI's taxonomy places the organism in Eukaryota, Metazoa, Chordata, Actinopteri, Salmoniformes, Salmonidae.